Molecule: ribosomal RNA, 546 nt
Filed under: Triticum aestivum (bread wheat)
Lineage: Eukaryota; Viridiplantae; Streptophyta; Magnoliopsida; Poales; Poaceae
Description: partial small subunit ribosomal RNA
Source: RNAcentral
AUGAUAGGAGAUGGAGGUAACACCGGAUUUUGGGAAGACUGGUGGAUUGGAUCAGCACCGCUUUGUAAAAAAAAUCCCAGGUUAUAUAAUAUCUGUUUUGAUAAAAAGAAAAUAGUUAAAGAAAUUUUUGAGAAAGGGUUUAAUAACAUAUGCUUUAGAAGGGCCCUGAUAGGAGACUCAAAAGAGCUCUGGGAUCAUAUAAAAGAGGUAUGCAGCUCGGUGGUGUUGAGAGAUACAAAAGAUAAAGUGAAAUGGACUCUGACAAAAAAUGGGAUUUAUACAGUAAAAUCCUUCUACAGACAUCUUGUAGAAAAUGGGAUCAAAUACCCACACUUAUAUAUGUGGAAAAUUAAAAUGCCACCUAGAGUUAAAGUCUUCAUGUGGCUGGCUCUCAAAAACAGCAUUCUCACUAAAGAUAACCUGCUACGUAGGGGUUGGAAAGGUGAUGAAAAUUGUCCAUUCUGUGGGUGUAGAGAGAGUAUUAAUCAUUUGUUUCUGACCUGUUCAGUAGCUAGGUGUGACGUCCGGAUAUUUAAGCUACAGUAA